GUUAACCUACGGGGGGCAGCAGUGAGGAAUAUUGGUCAAUGGGCGGGAGCCUGAACCAGCCACGUCGCGUGAGGGACGACGGUCCUAUGGAUUGUAAACCUCUUUUGUCGGGGAACAAAGGCGCCCACGGGUGGGCGGAUGAGUGUACCCGAAGAAAAAGCAUCGGCUAACUCCGUGCCAGCAGCCGCGGUAAUACGGAGGAUGCGAGCGUUAUCCGGAUAUAUUGGGUUUAAAUGGUGCGUAGGCGGACGGUCAAGUCAGCGGUAAAAAUGCGGUGCUCAACGCCGUACAG
This 292-nucleotide ribosomal RNA is filed under the name uncultured bacterium. Its description in RNAcentral is "partial 16S ribosomal RNA". It matches the Rfam family "Bacterial small subunit ribosomal RNA", at positions 333 to 622 of the family's 1533-position model. The record is from RNAcentral.